AGGUUCGCUUACACAGACAUCACUGCGAUCACUAGCCACUUCAGAGACAAGCUGGGCCAAGGAGGCUAUGGGUCCGUGUACAAAGGUGUGCUUCCUGGUGACGUCCAUGUUGCCAUCAAAAUGUUGGUCAGUUCCAUGUCCAACGGAGAAGAGUUCAUCAGUGAGGUGUCCAGCAUCGGAAGCAUUCACCAUGUCAAUGUAGUGUGUCUGGUGGGUUUCUACUCGGAAGAAAUGAGGAGGGCUCUUGUUUACGAGUACAUGCUCCACGGAUCUCUUGAGAAGUACAUCUUCUCGCCAGAGAAGAGUUUCUCCUGGGACAAGCUCAACGAGAUUGCUUUGGGGAUCGUGAGAGGGAUCGACUACCUGCACCGAGGGUGUGAUAUGCAGAUACUACACUUCGACAUAAAGCCUCACAACAUCCUGUUGGACAGUGACUUCAUCCCAAAAAUCGCUGACUUUGGACUGGCAAAACUGUACCCGAGGGAACAGUUGGUUACAUAG
This 501-nucleotide ribosomal RNA is filed under the name Triticum aestivum (bread wheat). RNAcentral's name for it is "partial small subunit ribosomal RNA". The record is from RNAcentral. Lineage: Eukaryota; Viridiplantae; Streptophyta; Magnoliopsida; Poales; Poaceae.